GCUUACGGCCAUACCAGCCUGAAUGCGCCCGAUCUCGUCUGAUCUCGGAAGCUAGGCAGGGUCGGGCCUGGUUAGUACUUGGAUAGGAGACCGCCUGGGAAUACCAGGUGCUGUAAGCU
This 119-nucleotide ribosomal RNA is filed under the name Amphiprion ocellaris (clown anemonefish). Lineage: Eukaryota; Metazoa; Chordata; Actinopteri; Pomacentridae. The record is from RNAcentral.